Molecule: ribosomal RNA, 253 nt
Filed under: uncultured bacterium
Lineage: Bacteria
Description: partial 16S ribosomal RNA
Rfam family: Bacterial small subunit ribosomal RNA
Source: RNAcentral
UACGAAGGGGGCUAGCGUUGCUCGGAAUCACUGGGCGUAAAGCGCACGUAGGCGGAUCUUUAAGUCAGGGGUGAAAUCCCAAGGCUCAACCUUGGAACUGCCUUUGAUACUGGGGAUCUCGAGUCCGGAAGAGGUGAGUGGAACUGCGAGUGUAGAGGUGAAAUUCGUAGAUAUUCGGAAGAACACCAGUGGCGAAGGCGGCUCACUGGCCCGGUUCUGACGCUGAGGUGCGAAAGCGUGGGGAGCAAACAGG